UCCCGUGUGGCUCAGUUGGUAGAGCAUGGUGUUUGCAACGCCAGGGUUGUGGGUUCAAUUCCCACGGGGGAU
Molecule: transfer RNA, 72 nt
Filed under: Salmo salar (Atlantic salmon)
Lineage: Eukaryota; Metazoa; Chordata; Actinopteri; Salmoniformes; Salmonidae
Also listed under: 1 other name
Rfam family: tRNA
About the family: Transfer RNA (tRNA) molecules are approximately 80 nucleotides in length. Their secondary structure includes four short double-helical elements and three loops (D, anti-codon, and T loops).
Source: Rfam by way of RNAcentral